RNAcentral lists this ribosomal RNA (247 nucleotides) under uncultured Oscillospiraceae bacterium. Its description in RNAcentral is "partial 16S ribosomal RNA". It matches the Rfam family "Bacterial small subunit ribosomal RNA", at positions 94 to 339 of the family's 1533-position model. The record is from RNAcentral. Lineage: Bacteria; Bacillati; Bacillota; Clostridia; Eubacteriales; Oscillospiraceae.
AGUGGCGAACGGGUGAGUAACGCGUGAGUAACCUGCCCUUCAGAGGGGGACAACAGUUGGAAACGACUGCUAAUACCGCAUAAGCCCACGGUACCACAUGGUACAGUGAGAAAAGGAGAAAUCCGCUGAAAGAUGGACUCGCGUCUGAUUAGAUAGUUGGUGGGGUAACGGCCUACCAAGUCGACGAUCAGUAGCCGGACUGAGAGGUUGAACGGCCACAUUGGGACUGAGAGACGGCCCAGACUCC